This 881-nucleotide long non-coding RNA is filed under the name Helianthus annuus (common sunflower). RNAcentral describes it as "hypothetical non coding rna". The record is from RNAcentral. Lineage: Eukaryota; Viridiplantae; Streptophyta; Magnoliopsida; Asterales; Asteraceae.
CUCUCUUUUAGCAACCACCCACCAAAUUGAUCUUUCGUCUAUUGAUUCGGCCACUGCUCUCCAAUCCUCGUUUACAGCAUUCCGAUCUCGUCCAUCCCAGGAAACCGCAAUCCCCAUUCACGAGUGCUCUUUCAUCGCCAUUCGAAACCUCCGUGUCAUAGGAACACCAAAUUGGGUUUUCAGCAAGUUUUAUUAUUGAUAUUACUUAAGAUAUUUGGCGUGAUUUCUGAUGAAUGGUAUGAUUGAUGUCAUGAUUUCGUAGUGAGAACAGACAAUUUGGAGUGGACAAACUCAAUUCCCGAACUCGAGCACUAAUAACUUCAAUUUGGUGAAACAAGAGCCAAUCGAUUCAGAUUUGACUCAUAAUUGGUCAUUAAAUUUGUUACAUCCGUUUACUUCACGUUCAAGUGGUAUAACACAAAAAGCUGUUAUUGCGGCAUUAGGAAUGGGACACACUGGUGGGGAAACCAUAUCGCAUUUGGUCAAAGCAUUUCGUUAACGGCGAGAAUUUUUGGUUUCAACUAUCCGGGAAUUGGAUGGUGUCAAAAUAUCUAAACCCUAAGUUUGUGAGACUCUAAGGUGCAACCAAGAGGCUAAGGCCACUGUCAUCUACCCUUCCCCACUGGAGGAGGUAAUUUGUGUGUAUGCGUUUAGUAUUAAGGGGUGUUUGGAUGCGGGUUUAAAUCUGAUUACAUGAUAUUAUUGUUAAAUAAUUAGAAUAGGUAAUCACUUGGAAUUGCAAGUCAUAAAAGAUGUUUUUAGUGUCAAUGUUUUCAGAAACAUAUGUUUUAAUAUUCUUGAAGUACUUCUUUUUUAUGUUAAUAUUUUAUUCAUUGCUGUUAUUGUUGCAUCUUUUCAAGGCAAUGGAAAAGUGGUUUUUA